UCUGCUGCUGGUGGGAGGCCCAGGAGGCCUACAGCUCAGCUCUAAUGCCUCUCAUCACCAUCCCACAUUGAAAAAUAGCAAAACUGGGGAAAAACGAAGAAGAAUCCUGAGUCUUUCCAUGGACUUUGAACCAAGCUGCAGUGGCUGAAUUUAAUCACCAGGUUUCACAAGUGCCUGUGACAGUUCCCAAAACUGCAUUUCACCCGUUACUGCCUGGAGACAUUCACUGCAGACUCUUGAAGCUUUUCUCAAAGAAACAUCUGCGGGUGUGAGAGUGCAUCGCUGUCGGCACAUGUCUGUAUGGACACACCUGGAAUGGGGAGACAGAAUGAAACAUCACUUUUGAAACACAACAAGACACCCAGCUGAUCACAGGCAUUCUUCUGGAAAACUCCUCCGGGAACUCAUAUGUCUUGUGGCCUCUUUUGCUUUUUGACAGAGCAAACCUAGAGCACAGCUCCUCAUGUUUAAAAUAAACAAGUAAGAAAAAAAAAAAGGUUGUGACAGUGGGGGUUUUGUUAUUAUUUUACAUGGCCUUGUUAUGGAGAAGCCAAAACAAGCACAAACUCUGCUUU
Corvus hawaiiensis (hawaiian crow) is the source of this 575-nucleotide long non-coding RNA. RefSeq lists it as uncharacterized. The record is from RefSeq and is a predicted model, not a curated record. Lineage: Eukaryota; Metazoa; Chordata; Aves; Passeriformes; Corvidae. The transcript is spliced from 3 exons.